RNAcentral lists this ribosomal RNA (618 nucleotides) under uncultured bacterium. RNAcentral describes it as "bacterial SSU rRNA". It matches the Rfam family "Bacterial small subunit ribosomal RNA", at positions 16 to 659 of the family's 1533-position model. The record is from RNAcentral.
AUCCUGGCUCAGGACGAACGCUGGCGGCGUGCCUAAACCUGCAAGUCGAACGGAGUAACCAUACACUCUGGCGAACGGCGGAGUAAUAACAUGAUGCAACAUGCCCUAAACACUGGGAUAAUCAAGGGAAACCCUGAGGAAUACCGGAUGUGGUCGUCACCUCGCGUGGGGAGAAGAUUAAAUGGUUUUUCCCUUUAGGAGCGGUUCAUGGCCUAUCACGUAUUUGGUGAGGUACCGGCUCCCCAAGCCAACAACGGUUACCGGGUCUGAAAGGAUGACCCGCUCGAUGGGGACUGAAACCCGGCCCAACCCCCUCCGGGUGGCACCAGUUGGAAAUCUUGCACAUGGGGGGAAACCCGGAUGCACCGACCCCGCGUGGGGGAUAAAGGAUCCAGGUCUGUAACCUCCUUUUUCAGGGACAAACAUAAGACUGUAUCCUGAGAAUACGCACCGUCUAACUACGUGCCAUCAGCCGCUGUAACACGUGUGGUGCAAGCGUUCUCCAGAUUUACUGCGCAUAUGGAGCGCAUACGCGGUUCUUUAUCUGUGUAGUGAAAUCUCUAUGUGUCAACCCACAAGCUGCUUUAACUACAGGCCAUCUGGACUGAUGAAGACGGU